UCCAGAUCCAAAGGUAAUUGAAGAAAGUGAAGCAAAGUUGGUGAAGGUGUUCAACAUUUAUGAAGAGAGGCUAUCAAAGAACAAGUAUUUGGCUGGUGAUUUUUUCAGCCUUGCUGAUAUAAGUCACCUUCCAUUUAUGGAUUACGUUGUUAACAAUAUGGGGAAAGAUUAUUUGAUAAAGGAUAAGAAGCAUGUUAGUGCUUGGUGGAAUGAUAUAAGUAGUAGACCAUCAUGGAACAAAGUUCUUGAGUUAUAUAAACCUCCAAUUUAAGUGUAUCUUUGGAUUGACAAUAAGAUUUGUUUUUAGGAAAAAUAAUAGUAAUAAAGAAUAAAUGUGGCUUUAGCUCAAGGGCAGUGAGGGAUUUUGGCCACUAUUUGUUACUUCUAUCCUUUUAGUUUUAGUUUAGUUGUGUUGAAUUUGAGUAUGCUUAUGUUUUUCGCUUGUACUUUGAAAUAACUUUUUAUGAGCAAUAUAAAUUAAUCACAAUAUUAGUCCACUCUUCUAGAUGCAAUCACGUAGUAGAGUUAGGAAAUUAUGGAAAAUGCUAUAAUGCACGAGAAAGUCUAUCGUCAAAUUUGCACGAAUUGAUAUAUCAUUGUAGUUUGGUAUUUUAUCUUAGUUUUAAUUUGAGUCAAAGUGGCCAAAUAUGUAUUUAAAUUCCAUAAACACGUUUCCAUGUUGUGUGUUUUCCAAAUCAUGCAUGUCUUAGUAUCACCUUAUAAUUGACAUGUGGAAAGGUGAUAUUCUUAGAUCCGGAUGAUAUCAUUUUAGUUACAUUGAUUUUUGUACUAUAUGUUAUAUAUAAGAAUACAAUAACACCAAUAAGCUAGCAAUAAGUCCAAUAGUAAAGUAAAUUGCCUGUAAUUUAACAAGUCGUGCGACAUCGUGCGCUUGAAACUCUCGUACCAUUUAGCAUCGCUCGGAAAUUAUUACCCGUAUAAAACAUUUCAUGGAAUAAAAUAACUUUUCAUUUCCCAUCUUUUUAUUUCUAAGGAAAUGGGUGGGAAUAAAAUAUUCUCAUGAAGGUGAAUAAAAAUGAUGUAACCACUUAGUAACUAACCAUAUAUUCAAUGUUUACAAAUAAUUUCAAGAAUAUGGUAAAUAUUAACCAAACACUCCCUCAACAAAAAAAUUAACGAAACACUUUUUUUUUUUAAAAUACCCGGGAUUAAGAUUCCAAUUAUUAAUUCCUAAACACUAUUAUUGGGCAAAAAGAGUUUUAUACUAGAUCAAUAGUGUUGUCUAGACAAAAAAAAAAAAAAAAAGCAGGGACAAAUUAAAUUGAAAAAAUGUCGUAUACAUAGAAACAGAUUAACUAAAAGAUGAAAAGAGGAACAUAAACAUGCGUAGUGACAAAAUGAUGACGGAGUGGACAUCUGAGAACAUAGUGACUCCGGCUGAAAUACGAACACAAAUAAAAUGAAGUGACGAAGUGAGGACCCGAAAGUGGCGGAGCGACGGAGUAGAAAACGAUACAAUUGGGAACGAUGUAAAAAUUGAUGGCAACUGACGAUGGUGCAGUGCCUAGCCAGCGAUGACGGUCUUGAAAAUUCAAUGGGGACAAUGGUGAAAAAGAAAACUGAACUGUCUCUUCAUUUUUUUAAUAUUUUUAAAAAUAUAAUAUAUGACAUCAUGGUCAAUGCUUAUCAUUCAUAUUAUCUUCAAAAUCGAUGUAGAAAUCAUUUGGUCAGUAAAAUUUCAUUUUAUUGAUUCAUUUAAUAAAUUAUGUAUGUGGUCUACAUAAUACACUCUACCACAUACAUCAUUAAUUGAAUAAACCUAAAAAGUAAAAUUUGCUUAUAUUUUGAAACGGAUGGAGUAGGUCGUUACCUAAAAUAUAGGUUUUUGUUAAAAAUAAUAAUCGAAAGAUGUGGUUUUUAGAUAGACGGUGUGAUGAUCAGCAGAGAUCUCCAUAUCAAUUAUAAUUUGAAUUAGGGUUUUAACAUAAUUCAUAUUAUAUAAUCUCAAAUCCGGCAAAAAAGAAAAAAAAUUGUUUGGAUUUUAUAAUCCGAACGAAAAUAUUUGAUAAUUUUGAAAGGCGAACGAGAAACCAAAAGAUGAGAGAAUAACAAGGAAAGCAAAGAUCCUAAUAAUGACCCGAUCCUAUUCUAAUUUUUUUUAAAGAGAGAAAUUAUAUGUUCUCUCUAACUCUCUUUCUCCUUUAUCCACAUGAUAAUAACCAAAAUAACGAUUUUUGUAUGACUUGCUCUUUAAUCUUCUUUAAAAACCAAAAUAUGAAUAAUAUAUUAAAUUUAUUCAACCCACAAAAUGCGCCAUGAUUACAAACACUAAUUAUCUCAAAGGAUAAUAUACCGAUUCAAAAAGUAAAAUCAGACAGGAUAAUAUGAUAGAUGAUACCCACCCUAUAAACAAACAGCACAAAAUACACGUGACCAAAAAAGAAGAACUUAUAAUGAAAAACGACAAAGUUACAAGAACAUCAACCUCUGAAGAAAUUGAAAGGUUGUAUCCAUUAAUGAUUGAAAUCAUAUUUGAAACUGCUGCCUUUAAAUUUGAACAACAACCACGAGAUAAUUUUAAUCUUCUCCAAAAUUUGAUGAGAGUCACACACUUGUUACGAAAAUAUAUAUAACACAAUUUCUCACUUUCUAAAUAAACCAUAGUCUUAUUUGAUCCAUUGAUCCCUCAAAUAAUUUCAAGUUUUCAUUUUGAUCCCACAAUUAAUAAAACGUACGUUUUGGUCCCUCAAAUUUUCCUCCGUUUGCCAAAUAAAUCAUGACUGUUAAGUUUAACCCCAAAUGAUGUCUAUGGUAGACCAACCUUAAAAGUGAUCCACCAUAGAUCCUAUUAAUUAUUUUAAUUUAAACUGUUUGAUUUUUUUUUAAAAAAAAGAUAAUCAUUAAUCAGCAAGUCUAUCUUAUCAUAUGAUGUACCACCAACACCUGAUUUUUUCUUUUCUUCAUCUUCUACAUUUUCAUCUUCUUCAUCUUCAUCAAUCAUAUUCAUAUCUUCAUAAAAAUAAAAUAAAAAAUUCAAACAACCCCAAAAAAAUUAAAUUAAAAACCAACAAAUUGUUUCUCCUACAAACAACAGUAGCAUAAACAAAACCCCUUUCCUUUUUUUUUUUCUCUCUCGGAUCCCAAUAGAAAAAGAAGAAAAAACGUAGAAGGGAACAAAAGAAGAAGAAACGCAUAAGGGAACAAAAGAAGAAGAAACACAGAAGAGAAAAGGGCAGGAGGAAGAGAGGGAAAACGGCGGUGGUGAUAUGAAGCUCUGGCGAGGUAACGAAGAGAAGGUUCGACAUCGACGUUGUCGUCGCCGUCGUCUCUCUUCCGUUUCUUGAUUGUUGCGACGCCGUUGAUUUGGGGGGGGGGGGGGGGGGGGGGGGGUUGGAGGCGUUGGAUGUGAUUCUGAUGUGGAAUAGUGAACGUUGAUUGUUAGAGGGAGAUAGUUCAGAAGUGGCCGCCAUUGAUCUUUACUGUGAUUUAUUUCGGUUUUGCUGAGUCACUUAAGUCUGUGUUGUUUUUGCUUUCUUCGUUUUAUGCUGCUGUCUGUAAGGUUCCUUUGUGUUACUUGUUUUUCUUUGUUGGUUCUUGUUUGUAUAUAAGUGGCGGAUUGCCUAUUUGUAGGUUUGGUUUUGGGUUUUUGGAGACCUGUUUUGCUGCCGGAGGCGCUCCCUUUUGUUUAGUGUGAUAAUAAAUUUUUGCUGUCAUAGAAAAAAGUGCCGCCAUUGUUAACCUCACUGUGUGUUUGCUUUGAUUAUUGAUUGUUCUUGUUUCAACUAGUAAGUUCCUAAGAACAUUUUUUUGGUAUCCGAUUUGAUUUUUUUAUAGAAGAGAUGAAUGAAGAAUGAGUUAUGAUUCUACUGGUGUUAGAUUACACAAUGGUGGUGGUGGAUUUGAUGGUGUUGGUGGUCUGGAAUUUGAUGGUGUUAGAAUUAAUGUUUUGUGUUAUUGAUAGUUGUUGUUGUUGUUUUUGGAUUUUUUAUGUUUUUUUUUUUAUGAAUGUUGUAGAAGAUGAUGAGGAUCAUGAACAUUGCAAAGAUGCUCGCUAGAGAAGAAGAGAAAUGAAAUUGAGAAUUUUAAUUUGGCAUUAGGGGUAUUUUUUGUAUUUCACAUCGUUAGCAUUAUUUUAUGAAGAUCAUGAUCAAGAAGGUGAAGAUCUAACGGUCCCUUUUAUGAUAAAUAGAUCGAACGGAUAAAAUUAAGAAAAUUAAUAAGGUCUACCAUAGACCACUUUUUAAGAUUGGUCCACCAUAUACAUUUAAAGUUGAAGUUAACCGUCAGGAUUUAUUUGGCAAACGGAGGAAAAUCUGAGGGACCAAAACGUAUGUUUUAUUAAUUGUGGGACCAAAAUGAAAACUUGAAAUUAAUUAGAGGACCAUUGAAUCAAAUAAACCUAAACCAUAAGCACAAAUACCAAAUAACAUGAUGUUUCUCCCUAUCGUUCAUUCCUUGCAAACUCAAAGCACAACAUUAGUGAGUAUACUCUAAAGCGAUAUUAGACAAAGGAGCAGUGGCGGAGCCAGAAAUUUUAUAAAGCUAGGCAAAAAUUGCAUAUUUUCUACAAAUAAUUUUAUAGACUUCCCAUAUAAUGUUACUUCAUUCAUGCGGAUAAUUGCACAUUUCCUGCGGAUAUAUCUUUCCUGCGGAUCCUAAAAUCCUAAGGACCCACGAAGGUAUUGCAUUUAUCGAAAAACCUAAAUCCUUGGCAAAAUCUGCAGAAAAAGCAAGAGGUUCUAAUAAUGGAUGGACUUGUUACAAAGAAAGUAGAAGCUGAGUCUGGGCUAGUGCUCAGGCUAGCUGGGGGUGGCUCCGCCCCUGCAAAGGAGUAAUAUUUGAUUCCCUCAACAAAACAAAAAAAAAAAAAAUUGAUUAUAGCUCCUCUUAUAUGAUGGAGAUAAAUGACUAAAACGAAUGUAACAUUUAUCAAUUCUUAUAUGAACAAGUUUCUUAGCAACUAAAACAAAAUACGAAGGAAAAAAAAAAAAUUAGAUAUUUUUUAAGGAAAAACUAGAUAUAUUUAAAGACUAAAAAUAAAUUACGAGCACUAAAACAAAAAAUGCAAUAUUUGGAAUUUCCGUUUAAAAUUAUAGAUAAAACAGGUCGAAAAUGACUGAAAAAUAUAAUGCAGAUUGCACUGUCUGCAUUUACUGGCGUGAGUGGUAGUUAACUACCGCUGGGAUAAAACAACCAUUUCCGUGUGUGUUUAGGAAAUAAGUUUGUGAGAAAAGCAAUCUUCAAAACAAAAACCUUUUUUUUUUUUUAACAACAAAUAUUAUUUAAAAAUUAUAUCCCUGCACAAGACGAACAUAUAGUAGUAAUUUAGAGAAUACAAACUAAAGGCACCGUAUAUAGGCGGAUAAAUUACGCUAAUGAUACGAUCAUAUCAAGAAUCUAGAUGUUACUUCUUCAAUAAAUCACCAAGCAUGCAUGAACAAUUUCUCAAAACAUCGCAGCGGAAUAAAACAUCAUUACAUCGACACCUAAAUAAAAUAUUUCAACAGUCAUCCAAAUAUAAUAAGUCACCAAGUUGCCAUGUCAUCACAAUACACAUAACAUCAUUGAUACAUCGUCUCAAAAUCUCCAACAGACAUAAAUAAAGACAAACAUCAAAGACCGACUCGUAAUCAGAGCCCUAAAAACCAAGGCACCAAAAGCAGUAGACGAGGUAGCUCCAAGCUAUCCUCAAGCGACUCCCAAAGCAAACAAACUACUCUUGCACACUGUCUAUCCAUCCAUAUGGAUAAGGAUGACGAUCAACCAAACGACCACUGGGGGUUAGUUCAGUUUUCACAAUUAAACAUAAUCUAACAUAAGUAUUGAAGGAUUCAUACAUAUCAAAUAUACAUACUCAACAUUCCUAGAAUGCUAACUCUACAUGAAUAUUAUCCCUCAUUCCAUACACAUCAUGUUAUCACACUUCUAUACGAGCAUAGCAAGCAUAUUCAAUCUCUAAUCAAAUCAUCAACAUAAGCUCAUCACUUAAUAACAUCAAUCAAUAUAAGAAUUUUCAAAGAUCGUAUCGUUUUGCCGUUUUUCAAAGAAUCUAAGUUUUCAAAGCAAACUCAAGUUAAAGUUCAUGAUUCCCAUCCAAAACAUUUUUAUAAAUCAUAACAAGAGUAAACAACCCUAACCCUACCCUUUUACACUUAUGAGUUGUGUGUUCAUUAUUUUCUAAAGAAUGUCUGUCAUUUACAUAUUGGCCCUUUAGCUCAUGAACCACUUCAUAUGAGAACAUAAUAAUUAUUCCAAGGGUUAAUAAUAUAUUUUAUCAUCUCUAACAGUAAGACAUUACUCUAACUUGAUUCAAAAGCUUAUCAUGAAGAGCUUAUCGAAAUAAGCUGAAAACAACUUAUACAAGCAUCAAAUAAAGCUUUAUCCAAACAGGCCCCUAGGUUAACAGUAAAUUUCCCCAAAAUAACACCCCCUAGCUUCAUCCAAACAGUCACUCUCCCAAAAUCAUUCAUUAUACAACAAAAUCAUCAACAACAACAACAACAGUAACGCUCUAGUCGUUGUUUUAUUUAUUAAAAUUUAUUUGGAGUAUAUUAUAUGAUUUUAAUUAAUAAUUGGUGAUUUAUGUGGUGUGGUAUAUUUUAUUAUAUAGUUUAUUUUAUAAUAAUUGGAUUAAGUGAGAAAUUAUUAUUAUUUUGAAGUUUGGGGAAUUAAUAGAAUUUAAUAGAAUUAGGAGGGAGUAAAGUGAAAUAAAGGAAAGUUGAGAAGGAAGUUAAGAAAGAAAGAAAAGAGUCAAAAACAUUCUUACGUGAAACUGUCAGUUUUGGGAGAAAGGGAGAGAAGAGCAAGUAGAGCCAAGAACCAUUGUUUGUUGUGCAUUUCUUCUGCAAUUUUAAGGUAAGGGUGAGGUUUGCUUCAGUAUUAUAGACAUUAAUUUCUGAUUUUAAGUUUAACAGAGUUUUUGGUGAGAAUUAGGGAUUAUGGGUUUUGUGAUGAAAUGAUGAUUUUGGGGGUAGAGAUUGUUGUUAUGAUGUUAGAAAUAGGUUCUAAGUGUAUACAGCAAGUUAAUUCUUAUCUGUAAACUGAUUUGGGGAGUGAAUUGAAGAAAAAUGGGAUUUUGGGGAAAAACCUGUUUUCUGUCUGUACAGAAGUUCAUCGCUCGCCUCGCGAGUAGCUUGUGCUCGCCAAGGCGAGUGAGCAACUUCAUAGCUCGCCUCGCGAGCAGACCAACUCGCCGUGGCGAGUAACCCAGUAUAAAACUUGAUUUUUAAAUUGUUGUUAUAAGAUGUUUUUGGGAUAGUUUAAUGUACCUAAAUGAUUUUAGAGAGGACUAGAGCAAGUUUUAGAUUAAAAAGAUGAAUAGGGAGCUUAGAAUUGAAGUUUGAGUGAGAAAAAUGUCAAAACUCCCGAGAGCACCAUAUUUUCACUCGCCUCGAGUUCGCCUUGAACUCGCCAUGGCGAGCAACCCGUUUUGUGAGUUCGCCAUAGCGAGCAGAUGUGCUCGCGAGGCGAGUUGCCCAGUUUUUGUAUGCUGAUUGUACUUAUAUGAAUGGUGAUGAUUGAUGUUGUUGUUGAGCGUAAUUGUGAUUAAUUGUGCAUCUUUCUGGAUUGCUGGAUUACUAGUUGUUGAUGUUGUUGAUGGCUGUAAUGUAUGUUAUAUUUAUUAAAUCAUACAUGUUGAAUAAAUUCGGAGUCAUAUGAGAAUGUAUGCAUGGUCAAGUUGUAUGUAGAUAUACACAAGUGAGUCCAUAACAUAUGCAUAAACAGCGGGAGGACUCAUGUCCUGGAGCACUAGUUGUUCACAGCGGUGAGGACUUCGAUCAUGAUGAAUGCUUUAACCAUUCAAAAGCGGUGAGAGCUUCGGUCCUGUUUGGUACCACAUGCAUAAUUGCAUUUAUUAAGGGGUCUUAGUGGUGUCGUCAUGUCAUGCAUGAGUCUUUGUUGUUGGUUGUAAUUGUUAUAAUGAUGAUGAUGAUGUUGUUGUUGAUGUAUGUAUAUUUAUACACCUAUUAUGAUGAAUUGAUUUGAAGAUAAGUUGUUGCUUUGUGAAAUAUAUAUUUAUAUUUACAAGAUGAUGUAUUGAUGUUUAAUAGGGUGUUAGAUUCAAUUGAUGAUUUUAAUAUCUAUAUUUUAUUGUUGUGAAUCUCACCCCUUCUGCUUGAAAAUGUUGCCCUUCCUAUGGGUAACUUGCAGGUGAUCCUGAGUAGUCGGUGGUGGCUCAAGUGUCGUGUCUAGGGCUCUGAUACGUGGGAUGAGAUUUCUUAUUGUUUUCUUUCCUAUGUAUCAAUUUUUGGAACAUGAUGAUGUGGCCCUAUGAUUGUUUAGAUUUCUUUGAUGAGGCUUUUAUGCCAGGAUAAUUUGAUGGAGAAUUUAACCGUUGUCAUUGUUGUUUAAAUGCAAAUAUUCCGCUGCAAGAUUAAUGAUGUUUUGAAAGUUGUUUAAUUAAAUAGUUUCAUAUGCUAUAUAAGAAAUUUUGAAAAUGUAGUGUAGCAUGCCCGUUUGGUGCUUAACACUGAUGAUUUUAUUUAUACUUUGAUAUAUUUGGGAUAUCGGGGUGUUACAAAAAACAUGCAACAAAGCAUAAAAAACUGAGAUAAAAACAAAAACGAAAUUAAGAGAGAAUUGAACUAUAAAAGAAGAGAAGAAAGAGAGAAAGCAUUUUUACAAAAGGAAUGAGAGAGAGAGUUUUCACGACCGCGGAAUGACUUCGAUUCCAACUUAGAGAGAGAGAGAGAGAGAGAGGCUUCUGACUUCGAUUUUGACCGAAGCAAGAAGCUGGUUUUGGGUUUGGAUUUAUGACUUCGAUUUUCAUUGAUGCAAGGAAGGUGGUUUGGAUUUCAGUUUUGGGAGAAGGACGAUGGUUUAGUUUUCAGUUUUCUGACCAAAGGAAUGGACGGUGGUAUUGGUUCUGACUUUGAAUCCCAUUAGAUUGAUAGGGUUGAUACACAGUGAGCUAUCACGAUUUUAGUAAGUGUUACACAUUUAGUAAAAUCGUGGUGUCAUUAUGAUUUUGCCCAACUUAUCAACCAUCCAAACAUUCAAUCAGUUGCUGAAAGAAUUUUACUAUCUUAUGAGACGUAUCCGUGGUGUACAUUGACAUGUAUGAAGUGGUUGACUACGACAUAUAUUUUGAAAGUUUGCAAGGAAAAAGUAAGACCAUGAAAAGCAAAAAUUCAAUUUUUUUUAUAGUGAUCGAGGUUUGAACUCCAAACAUUGCAUAUAUUAUGCAUUGUCCAUAUCAACUGAGCUAAGCUCACGAGAACAAAAAUUCAAUCCUUUAAAAUUAUUGUUAUAAUAUAUGAAUUAAAUUAUACAUAGAUACAGAUGGAUGAGAGAAAGCUGUUAAAUGCGUGAAAGGGUUCGUAUUCUUUUUUAGUAAGAGUUACUUUUUUUUUCUUGUUCUUAGCUAAUUUUUGUUUUUUUAUUCGGAAGGUUGGAAAUAUGUAAAAUAAAAUUAAUAAUGAAUUUAAUUAAAGUAAUAAAUCAAAAAAUAAUAAUUAAAUUAUAAAUUAAAUACAUCAGUUAUUCAAUAAACUUAAAAAUUAAAUAUAAAAUCCUUAUAUCAAUGAUGACAACAAAAUGUGAACUCGUUUUAGGUGGCGGCCAACUCCAUUAAUUAUAUUACUCUCACCAACUAGCAAGUUAAAUUGAUACUUUAUAGGGAAAGUAACAUGGGCUUACAGCCAGGAUCAGGAGGACUACCCUUCAACCUCAGUUUUGUUUGUUUGUGUUGGCUAUAUAUAUUUUCAGAUGAAGAGUAGAGACUCUAUAAGAAUGAAGUGAACUACCCACCCAAGAGUGUUAACAAUCCCCCUUCUAUCUUAUUGAAGCAUUUAUUUUUUCAAAAGAAACCAAAACAUGGUAGUGAAGGUUUAUGGUCCCCAUUGUGCCUCAGCCAAACGUGUGUUGGUUUGUCUUGUUGAGAAGGAAAUAGAAUUUGAGGUUGUCCCUAUUAAUGUCUUGAAGGGUGAACACAAGGAUCCUGAGUACCUCAAAUUACAGGUUCAUGUUUGUUAACUAGGAAUUAAAGUUUAUUUAUUUGAAUCUUCAUUUUCUAACACUCAUGUACUUUGUUCAUAAUCUGCAGCCAUUUGGAAAUGUUCCUGUUAUUAAAGAUGGAGACUAUACCCUUUAUGGUUAAACAUCUUGACCCCAUGUCAUGCUUUUCUAGUUCUUGUUUUUACACCUUUUGUUCCUUACCUUAAAAUUCAUGUUUGGUAUAUUGUAGAUUUGUUAAAAUAACUUGAUCCACCAUUUUACAAAAUUAACAUGGUUCACCAGGAUUCUUGGAAUCAAUCGUAAUAUCAAACAUAUGCUAAAUUAGUUUAAUUUUAGAGUAAAGAUACAAGUUUGACAUCAAAUUUAAUCUAUAAAAAUAAAAACAACUUUUAAUUUCUAAAAUAUAUAAACCGUAAUGACUUAGAUCCCUUACCGGACAAAAUUGGAGAUAGAUCAAUGUUCACAUAGGAACUAAAUUGUUUUCAACUUAUUUUUUGGAAAGAUUAAAGUUUACUUUUAUUCUUCUUAUAGAAUAAAUUUUGAGUACUACAUAAUUUUUUCAAGGAUCACAAUGGUUCCUCACCCUUAGUUUUAAUACAACAAGAAUACAUAAACAUUUAAUAUACAUUAUGAGCUAAUCAUAAAUCAUUAUUGCAUGCCUACUGAAUCUUAUACUAUUACCUUGCUGAUUUUUAUGUUUUCAUCUAUUUGUGCAGAAUCUAGGGCAAUAAUGAGAUAUUAUGCAGAAAAAUAUAGAUCUCAAGGGGUUGAGUUGCUAGGAAAGACAAUAGAAGAAAAGGGUCUUGUGGAACAAUGGUUAGAAGUUGAAGCACACAACUUUAACCCACCAGCUUACAACUUGGUCAUUCAUGUUUUGUUUCCUUCACUACUGGUUGACGGCACUCCAGAUCCAAAGGUAAUUGAAGAGAGUGAAGCAAAGUUGGUGAAGGUGUUGAACAUUUAUGAAGAGAGACUAUCAAAGAACAAGUAUUUGGCUGGUGAUUUUUUCAGCCUUGCUGAUAUAAGUCACCUUCCAUUUACUGAUUAUAUUGUUAACAAUAUGGGGAAAGAUUAUUUGAUUAAGGAGAGGAAAAAUGUUAGUGCUUGGUGGGAUGAUAUAAGUAGUAGACCAUCAUGGAACAAAAUUCUUGAGUCAUAUAGACCUCCGGUUUAAGUCU
RNAcentral lists this long non-coding RNA (11096 nucleotides) under Medicago truncatula (barrel medic). RNAcentral's name for it is "long non-coding RNA (MTRU_LNC003647)". The stretch from base 8399 to 8486 matches the Rfam family "MIR2617 microRNA precursor family". The record is from RNAcentral. Lineage: Eukaryota; Viridiplantae; Streptophyta; Magnoliopsida; Fabales; Fabaceae.